UCCAGACUCCUACGGGAGGCAGCAGUGGGGAAUAUUGCACAAUGGGGGAAACCCUGAUGCAGCGACGCCGCGUGAGUGAAGAAGUAUUUCGGUAUGUAAAGCUCUAUCAGCAGGGAAGAAAUACUGACCUUACGGUCAGCAGACGGUACCUGACUAAGAAGCCCCGGCUAACUACGUGCCAGCAGCCGCGGUAAUACGUAGGGGGCAAGCGUUAUCCGGAUUUACUGGGUGUAAAGGGAGCGUAGGUGGCAUGGCAAGCCAGAAGUGAAAACCCGGGGCUUAACCCCGCGGAUUGCUUUUGGAACUGUCAGGCUGGAGUGUAGGAGGGGCAGGCGGAAUUCCUGGUGUAGCGGUGAAAUGCGUAGAUAUACGGAGGAACACCAGUGGCGAAGGCGGCCUGCUGGACAAUAACUGACGCUGAGGCGCGAAAGCGUGGGGAGCAAACAGGAUUAGAUACCCGAGUA
This 464-nucleotide ribosomal RNA is filed under the name uncultured bacterium. Its description in RNAcentral is "bacterial SSU rRNA". It matches the Rfam family "Bacterial small subunit ribosomal RNA", at positions 330 to 792 of the family's 1533-position model. The record is from RNAcentral.